RNAcentral lists this ribosomal RNA (783 nucleotides) under uncultured Fusobacteriota bacterium. RNAcentral's name for it is "bacterial SSU rRNA". It matches the Rfam family "Bacterial small subunit ribosomal RNA", at positions 90 to 890 of the family's 1533-position model. Lineage: Bacteria; Fusobacteriati; Fusobacteriota. The record is from RNAcentral.
UUUGGGUGGCGGACGGGUGAGUAACGCGUAAAGAACUUGCCUCACAGCUAGGGACAACAUUUAGAAAUGAAUGCUAAUACCUGAUAUUAUGAUUUUAAGGCAUCUUAGAAUUAUGAAAGCUAUAAGCACUGUGAGAGAGCUUUGCGUCCCAUUAGCUAGUUGGAGAGGUAACAGCUCACCAAGGCGAUGAUGGGUAGCCGGCCUGAGAGGGUGAACGGCCACAAGGGGACUGAGACACGGCCCUUACUCCUACGGGAGGCAGCAGUGGGGAAUAUUGGACAAUGGACCGAGAGUCUGAUCCAGCAAUUCUGUGUGCACGAUGAAGUUUUUCGGAAUGUAAAGUGCUUUCAGUUGGGAAGAAAAAAAUGACGGUACCAACAGAAGAAGUGACGGCUAAAUACGUGCCAGCAGCCGCGGUAAUACGUAUGUCACGAGCGUUAUCCGGAUUUAUUGGGCGUAAAGCGCGUCUAGGUGGUUAUGUAAGUCUGAUGUGAAAAUGCAGGGCUCAACUCUGUAUUGCGUUGGAAACUGUAUAACUAGAGUACUGGAGAGGUAAGCGGAACUACAAGUGUAGAGGUGAAAUUCGUAGAUAUUUGUAGGAAUGCCGAUGGGGAAGCCAGCUUACUGGACAGAUACUGACGCUAAAGCGCGAAAGCGUGGGUAGCAAACAGGAUUAGAUACCCUGGUAGUCCACGCUGUAACGAUGGAUUACUAGUGUUGGGGUCGAACCUCAGCGCCCAAGCAAUACGCGAUAAGUAAUCCGCCUGAGGGAGUACGUACGCA